AGCGCUGUUCUGCUUCGUUAAGAAUUUCCUCCCUGGAUUGGAAUGGAGACUCUUCAUAUGAAUUUGGCUGUUGCUCUCUGGAGGGAAUAAUAGAGAUUCUUGAUUGCAGACAGGAAAUGUCAGGCAUCUGUAUGAACGCAUUUCCAUUGAGCCGACCUUGCACAUGCAUCCGCUUC
Long non-coding RNA from Lolium rigidum, 176 nucleotides. RefSeq lists it as uncharacterized. The transcript has 3 exons. The record is from RefSeq and is a predicted model, not a curated record. NCBI's taxonomy places the organism in Eukaryota, Viridiplantae, Streptophyta, Magnoliopsida, Poales, Poaceae.